This 774-nucleotide ribosomal RNA is filed under the name uncultured Neocallimastigales. RNAcentral's name for it is "partial large subunit ribosomal RNA". It matches the Rfam family "Eukaryotic large subunit ribosomal RNA", at positions 20 to 616 of the family's 3401-position model. Lineage: Eukaryota; Fungi; Neocallimastigomycota; Neocallimastigomycetes; Neocallimastigales. The record is from RNAcentral.
UACUAGAGUAGCACUCGCAUAUCAAUAAGCGGAGGAAAAGAAACUAACAAGGAUUCCCCUAGUAACGGCGAGUGAAGCGGGAAGAGCUCAAAUUUGAAAUCUUAAAGGGUUUCCCUUUACGAAUUGUAGUUUAAAGAAGUGUUUUCUGUUGAGGUUUUGGUAAAAGUUCUUUGGAAUAGGACAUCAUAGAGGGUGAGAAUCCCGUAUUUGACCUUUACUCUCAACUUUGUGAUACACUUUCAAAGAGUCGGAUUGUUUGGGAAUGCAGUCCAAAAUGGGUGGUAAAUUUCAUCUAAAGCUAAAUAUUGGCGAGAGACCGAUAGCGAACAAGUACCGUGAGGGAAAGAUGAAAAGAACUUUGAAAAGAGAGUUAAACAGUACGUGAAAUUGUCAAAAGGGAAGCGUUUGACACCAGUGUUGUUUUUCUGAAAAUCAAUUAAAGAACUGUUUAUGCUAAGUUGUUUAGACUUUAUCAGCUAACUGUUUAAUUUUGAGCUUUUCUUUAAUGCACUUUUCAGUUAACAAGUCAACAUCAAUUUCUUUUGCUGUAAAAAAGCUUGAGGAAGGUGGCUUGAGAUUCGUCUUAAGUGUUUAUAGCCUCUUGCCUAUGCAGUCGGAGAGAUUGAGGUCUGCAGCGUAGAUCCUUCGGGGCUAAAUGCAUUUGUGCUAAGUUAUAGCAUUUUAUAGACAACUUGUUGACUAUGAUUUGUCUUGUAGCUUACUCGCUUAUGUUAUUUUACCUACGCUUAGGAUGUUGAGCGCAUGUCUCUCUCU